RNAcentral lists this long non-coding RNA (556 nucleotides) under Cyanistes caeruleus (blue tit). RNAcentral's name for it is "lncRNA (ENSCCEG00000009969.1)". The record is from RNAcentral. Lineage: Eukaryota; Metazoa; Chordata; Aves; Passeriformes; Paridae.
AUCACAGUGAUCUCAUGCCCCAGCUUUCCUGUUCAUCAUGGGAAACCAACUUGACACACAGCUGUGCUGCAGGGGUGUCUGGUUCAUCAGCAGGCAGUGGUUUCUUGCAGAUGCCUCUUGACCCCUGUGGUUGCAGUAGCUGCUGAUGUCAUUGAAGGAGCGGGAUUGAAAACAGGGGAUGUUUCUGCAGCGUGGCAGAGGAGCAGUCAGCAGAGGGACUCAGACAGAGAAGGCUCAGCGGAUGCCAUGGGCUCAGCAGAUGGCUUGGUGAAGUUAUCUGUAUCGUCCUGGGCCUCCCAGCACCCUGCAACAGGCAAUGGAUUUGCUUUUCUGUGCUCAACACUCCAGACAUGAAGACAUGAAGACAUGAAGACGCCUACAUCACUGUCUGAAGUGAAACCAAGAAGAUGGGCUGAAAGAAUGGAAAAACUCAACUCUCAGCAGAAGUGGCAAAAAAGUGUGAAGAGAAAGAUAACAAGCUGUAGGUCAUCUGAUUGAACUCCUUCUAAAUUAGCUGAGAACUACAAUAUGAAUAAAAAUCAAAAUAAAUUUGAGG